Molecule: small nuclear RNA, 65 nt
Filed under: Xenopus tropicalis (tropical clawed frog)
Lineage: Eukaryota; Metazoa; Chordata; Amphibia; Anura; Pipidae
Description: Xenopus (Silurana) tropicalis (western clawed frog) U4 spliceosomal RNA
Rfam family: U4 spliceosomal RNA
About the family: U4 small nuclear RNA (U4 snRNA) is a component of the major U2-dependent spliceosome.
Source: Rfam by way of RNAcentral
AGGUUUGCGCAGUGGCAGUAUCAUAGCCAAUGAGGACAAACCGAGGCGUGAUUAUUGCUAAUUGU